Molecule: RNA transcript, 1208 nt
Organism: Hylaeus volcanicus
Lineage: Eukaryota; Metazoa; Arthropoda; Insecta; Hymenoptera; Colletidae
Exons: 5
Source: RefSeq, a predicted model, not a curated record
UUCCUACUUUUUACCCAACUUAGCAUACCAGACUCUGCACUCAAUAUACUUACGUAUAACCAUGAAACAUUUACAAAAGUAUAAACUAACUAUGUUUUUAACAAUAUUAUACUUUUUAAUAGCUAAAACUACCGGUCAAAGCAUAGGCAUGCCUUAUUUUUACGCACAAGAGGGAAAAGAAAAAUGUUUCAGUGCAGAAGUUCGCACCGGAAUGACAGUCGGAAUUACUUAUAUCAACUAUAAUAAUACUGGUGUAGAGUGUUCUGUUACUUUGAGGGAUUUUAAAAAUAAACCUUUAUAUAUUAGAGAAGUCAACUUGGCCAAACCCCAAGGAAAAAUAACAUACAUAUCCAAGGAAAAUGGGGAACUCAAAAUAUGUGUUUAUUGUUCCCAUUUACCAUGGCAUACCAUUUUCAUGAGAAAAUGGACAAUCUCAAUAGAUACGGGAGAGUUGAGUACUAAGUCAAAUAACUUAGUUGACCAUCAAUAUUUGAAAACUGUAGAAGAUACACUUGAGGCGUUGCAUUACCAAGUUGAUUCUAUACGUGCGGAGAAUAUAUAUCAACAAAAACAGGUUUUACUAAAUUAUUUACCGUAAAGUGUAGAAAUCGGUAUUUGUGCGAAUUGCUUUUCAUCUUUCUUAGGAAGAAAACACUUGAAGUGAUUAUUAUGGCAACAGUAACGCUUUUUGCCAUUACUAAUUUAUCCCGCUACUUUCACGCUCAAAAACUUUUUUGAAAGAAACCCAAAAAUCUUUAGCUUUAGUUUCUUUUGGCAUUAUUUUAUUUUCUUAAGUAUAUAAGUAGGUUCAUAAAAAAAGUUUACUGGUUAGAAAAUGAACGCAAAACAUACAAAGCAUUGAGGCUUUCUUAAAUGUUUUAAAAAUUUUCGACCUUAUUAUAUUAGGUUUUUUUUUUUUUUUUCAAUUUACGCAAUAACGUUUUUUUCGACAAAAAUUAAAAAAAUAAAUUGUUUGUUAUUUUUCUGUAUUAUUCGAUUACCAUUGUUUAGUAUUUAUAAAAAAUAAAAAAGGUUAUUUAAGUUUAAGAUUAUACUUGAUAUCGUUAAAAAGUAUGCCAAAAAUCAUUAUGCAUUUUUUAGGCUAUAUAGCUUUGGUAGAAUAGUCACUUCGUAAAGUAAUUUUGGGAUAAAUUUAAAUUCAGUUUAUUCUUAUUUUUUUGAUACUUACGUUAAAUCAUUUUUUCUUA